Molecule: transfer RNA, 73 nt
Filed under: Bos taurus (domestic cattle)
Lineage: Eukaryota; Metazoa; Chordata; Mammalia; Artiodactyla; Bovidae
Also listed under: 2 other names
Rfam family: tRNA
About the family: Transfer RNA (tRNA) molecules are approximately 80 nucleotides in length. Their secondary structure includes four short double-helical elements and three loops (D, anti-codon, and T loops).
Source: Rfam by way of RNAcentral
UCACUGGUGGUCCAGUGGCUAAGACUCUGAGCUCCCAUCUCAAGGAGCCUAGGUUCAAUCCCUGGCUGGGGAC